This 262-nucleotide ribosomal RNA is filed under the name uncultured bacterium. RNAcentral describes it as "partial 16S ribosomal RNA". It matches the Rfam family "Bacterial small subunit ribosomal RNA", at positions 793 to 1055 of the family's 1533-position model. The record is from RNAcentral.
GUCCACGCCCUAAACGAUGCAUAUUUGGUGUGGGUCAUUCAGUUGAUCCGUGCCGGAGCUAACGCGUUAAAUAUGCCGCCUGGGGAGUACAGUCGCAAGGCUGAAACUCAAAGGAAUUGACGGGGCCGCACAAGCGGUGGAGCAUGUGGUUCAAUUCGACGCAACGCGAAGAACCUUACCUGGGCUCGAACGGCUUCUCAACGCCGGUAGAAAUACAGGUAUCCCGCAAGGGAGUGGAGUCGAGGUGCUGCAUGGCUGUCGU